Molecule: ribosomal RNA, 245 nt
Filed under: uncultured Faecalibacterium sp.
Lineage: Bacteria; Bacillati; Bacillota; Clostridia; Eubacteriales; Oscillospiraceae
Description: partial 16S ribosomal RNA
Rfam family: Bacterial small subunit ribosomal RNA
Source: RNAcentral
UACGUAGGUGGCAAGCGUUGUCCGGAAUUACUGGGUAUAAAGGGAGCGCAGGCGGGAAGGCAAGUCAGCGGUGAAAUGUAUGGGCUUAACCCAUGAACUGCCGUUGAAACUGUUUUUCUUGAGUGGAGUAGAGGCAAGCGGAAUUCCUAGUGUAGCGGUGAAAUGCGUAGAGAUUAGGAGGAACACCAGUGGCGAAGGCGGCUUGCUGGGCUCUAACUGACGCUGAGGCUCGAAAGUGUGGGGAG